Molecule: ribosomal RNA, 512 nt
Filed under: uncultured bacterium
Lineage: Bacteria
Description: bacterial SSU rRNA
Rfam family: Bacterial small subunit ribosomal RNA
Source: RNAcentral
GAUGAACGCUAGCGGGAGGCUUAACACAUGCAAGUCGAGGGGCAGCAUAGGGUAGCAAUACUCUGAUGGCGACCGGCAAACGGGUGAGUAACGCGUAUGCAACCUACCCUGUACAGGGGGAUAACCCGGAGAAAUUCGGACUAAUAUCCCGUAAUAAUAUCCGGAGGCAUCUUUGGAUAUUUAAAGUUCCGACGGUACGGGAUGGGCAUGCGUAACAUUAGCUGGUUGGUAAGGUAACGGCUUACCAAGGCUAUGAUGUUUAGGGGUCCUGAGAGGGUGGUCCCCCACACUGGUACUGAGACACGGACCAGACUCCUACGGGAGGCAGCAGUGAGGAAUAUUGGUCAAUGGGCGCAAGCCUGAACCAGCCAUCCCGCGUGCAGGAAGACGGCCCUAUGGGUUGUAAACUGCUUUUCCAGGGAGAGAAACUUACGCACGUGUUGCGUGACUGACGGUACCCUGGGAAUAAGCAUCGGCUAACUCCGUGCCAGCAGCCGCGGUAAAACGGAGUA